Molecule: long non-coding RNA, 384 nt
Organism: Fundulus heteroclitus (mummichog)
Lineage: Eukaryota; Metazoa; Chordata; Actinopteri; Cyprinodontiformes; Fundulidae
Exons: 3
Source: RefSeq, a predicted model, not a curated record
GCAUACCUGACAUCCCUUUGUACAAGCACUAUGCUUUGUAUGUGGAUAAUGAGUACCCUGGCAAUGGUGACAUAAUACACCGCACAAGAAAUCCCCAUGGCAAUGACAUUAAAUUUGGUCAACUUGAAAACGAAGGUGAUCACCAGAAAGAGACUAUUCCAGGUUUUCCUAAACCAGAAAAAAAGGACAUCAAAGAUCGUAUUGAAGCCGUGCUUAAAAAAUGUGACACAUAUAAAUUAGGGAGCAACAACUGUGAACACCUUGCUACCUAUCUGCAAACUGGCAGAGGUGUUGCACAGCAGCCCGGCACCAUUGCAUCCAUUUAUUAUUGGUUUUUUCCUUGCAAACAAGAAAAAGACUGUAGUGUAUGGAAUGAAUAUUUGA